Molecule: long non-coding RNA, 847 nt
Organism: Astyanax mexicanus (Mexican tetra)
Lineage: Eukaryota; Metazoa; Chordata; Actinopteri; Characiformes; Acestrorhamphidae
Exons: 2
Source: RefSeq, a predicted model, not a curated record
CAGUGGUGACAGUGGGGCUACGGCACCUGGAGAAACGCUGCGAGCAUAAACAAAAGUGCCAGGAAGUGCAGGGAAGACAGGAGCGUACGAGCGAGAAGCGAGCAGUGCAGAUAUUCAGACCCGCGCUGGAAGAGACACCGGCCUCUGAAACGUCCCCAGAAAAGGAUUCGCCGUUUUUGACAAAUGACAGCAAAAUAGACAUUGAUUGCCAAUAAUUGAAGGGCAACACAUGCAUUGUCCCUGGCCAGGAAGGACAGAUGCUAUCUACUCUUCAGUCAUAUCCUGACACAAAUAGCAGCGGAGAAAGCUCAUUCCAUGCUGAGAGAAAGAAAGGAAAAAGUUGUUGCAGGAAGUUGACCAGAUAGAAGGCAGGAGGAGUGUCAACCCCCUGGCAACCAGACAAGACGAAAAUCAACUGUCCACCCCCAUACAUACUGUGCUGUCUAGUGUACCAAGACUACCAAGAGCCUGCCGACUGAUAGGAACAAAAAUACCAGGGGAAUCCAAAGGCAGGAUGCCCAUUAGUGCUGAUGCCCGUUAAGGAGUCUACAAAUGAAUGAAGGCGGCUGACUGCUGUGCUGUUACACAAAUCGCCAUUAAGGGACUGAAAUCCUCAAAAUGUCAAACCACUGACUUGCCAAAUUGCUAGUUGUCUGUCUCAGUUAUGUGACCUUUUGCUCACAAUGGCCAAUGAUUCUUCUGCAUAAUAUUUUUACAUAUAUAUACACUAAAUGCUCAUUGCUAUAAAAGCUGGUUUUAAUCUGGCUCAGGAAAAUAUAUGUUUCUCUAUUAUUGUUAUUACCUUUUUGUCAAUGCGUGUAUGCACUACAUAAAUAGUAUGGAAGUA